CAUAGCAGGUGCUCAAAAAUGUUCUCUUGAUCCCCCUCCCCACAUGCCUACCACCACCAAACUCUGAAGCAAAAUGGAGUUGUGGAUCAGAAAAGCACAAGCCUGAUUGAGGUCACUAGGCUCGUUGUAAAACAAGAGAGAUUCAACGCAUUUACUUACUACAUGCCUGUGGUUUUUAACACAACUACAUUAUUUCUCAGGGUAAGGUAUUUCUCAGGGAAAGAAGGAGAAAAAAAUCAGCGAUGAAGUCGAUGGCACGGAAAACCUAUAAAACGGCCUUGAAUUAAAAUGUCAGUUUGGCCAAGCUGAACUAAAUUUCCCGAUAUCUUCUUCCAUGUAUGACAUAGCCCACAAGGGAGAUGCUUGAGAGAUUUGGAAGUGGAAAGGAAGCUAUUUUGUAGCGCGCGUGCACGUGAUUGCCGACCUGCUGACUCACCUUGACACCAAGUAGCAGCUGGUCUGUAACUGCUUUCUCUCCCGGUCUCCUUCAGCUUCUCCUGAGCCUGGCCUGUGUGUUUAGCUCUGUAGGAGCUUGGAGCCGUUUACUGUUGACUGUAACGUAUUACCACAAGAGUAGUCGCUUAAAAUAAUUCCUUGCAGUUCUAUACGUUACAUGUCUGACGGUGCCUCUCACUGGAAUAAAGGUGUUUUUAAAAA
Suricata suricatta (meerkat) is the source of this 657-nucleotide long non-coding RNA. RefSeq lists it as uncharacterized. The transcript is spliced from 3 exons. NCBI's taxonomy places the organism in Eukaryota, Metazoa, Chordata, Mammalia, Carnivora, Herpestidae. The record is from RefSeq and is a predicted model, not a curated record.